UGUCAACGUAAAAUUGUCAUGUCAUUGUUGUACUUUGUCGCGACGAUGUGGAGGCCGGGUGUUGUUCAGUCGCACUUUUAUUCGACACACGACUAGACACAAGAUUGAAAAAAAAAACAAUCUUGUCGAAACAACAUUUGCAAAUCGGAUCAAACAUAAAACAUGUUUCCUACAAAAUGCGAACGAGGAUUCGUUCUAUUUAUUUGAGUCAUUCAAAAUCUCGGACAUAAGCGGUGGUGUAAUUUUAUUAAAGAGAAGGGCAACUUGCUCUUGCUGCAGAUGGAAUUAGAAUUUGGUUGAAGUUAUGCUAACCGCUGAACAGCGCGGUAAACGUGCUAAAGGAUCAUGGCGUGCCAGAAACAUCGAUAAUCCUAUCCAACCUUUUCUGCACACCGGUGGCUGCCUCAAUGGUGGUGAAAGCAUUUCCGGACAUGAAAAUUCUUACCUCAGAGCUACACCCGGUGGCACCAAACCACUUUGGGCAGAAGUAUUUUGGUACGGAUUAACCGCGACUUGGCCGCAUGAAUGUUGGUAUUAGUACCGCUACACUAAAAUGUAUCCAAUAAGUACAAGGUGACACUGCGACACAAAUUUGUAACUUAUUUAUUUUUUAAGGCUUUUUAAGGCUCUUUUUUGUAAUCACGUACCGUAUGAGGUUGUUGCGUCCCUUUUUGUCAAAAUUUAGUCUAGUGUAAUAGUGUAUGUCUUAAAGUCUAGAAGAAUGUAAACUGAUAUUUAAAUACAGUCAAUAUAUGGUUUAUUUAGAACUA
Wyeomyia smithii (pitcher-plant mosquito) is the source of this 770-nucleotide long non-coding RNA. RefSeq lists it as uncharacterized. The record is from RefSeq and is a predicted model, not a curated record. The transcript has 2 exons. NCBI's taxonomy places the organism in Eukaryota, Metazoa, Arthropoda, Insecta, Diptera, Culicidae.